RNAcentral lists this transfer RNA (73 nucleotides) under Chitinophagaceae bacterium. Its description in RNAcentral is "tRNA-Ala". It matches the Rfam family "tRNA". From Rfam's summary of the family: Transfer RNA (tRNA) molecules are approximately 80 nucleotides in length. Their secondary structure includes four short double-helical elements and three loops (D, anti-codon, and T loops). Further hydrogen bonds mediate the characteristic L-shaped molecular structure. tRNAs have two regions of fundamental functional importance: the anti-codon, which is responsible for specific mRNA codon recognition, and the 3' end, to which the tRNAs corresponding amino acid is attached (by aminoacyl-tRNA synthetases). tRNAs cope with the degeneracy of the genetic code in two manners: having more than one tRNA (with a specific anti-codon) for a particular amino acid; and 'wobble' base-pairing, i.e. permitting non-standard base-pairing at the 3rd anti-codon position. Lineage: Bacteria; Pseudomonadati; Bacteroidota; Chitinophagia; Chitinophagales; Chitinophagaceae. RNAcentral also lists the same sequence under 6 other names. The record is from RNAcentral.
GGGGGAUUAGCUCAGUUGGUAGAGCGCUUGCAUGGCAUGCAAGAGGUCAUCGGUUCGAAUCCGUUAUCCUCCA